This 411-nucleotide ribosomal RNA is filed under the name uncultured Flavobacterium sp. RNAcentral's name for it is "bacterial SSU rRNA". It matches the Rfam family "Bacterial small subunit ribosomal RNA", at positions 1 to 414 of the family's 1533-position model. Lineage: Bacteria; Pseudomonadati; Bacteroidota; Flavobacteriia; Flavobacteriales; Flavobacteriaceae. The record is from RNAcentral.
UCGAGAGUUUGAUCCUGGCUCAGGACGAACGCUAGCGGCAGGCUUAACACAUGCAAGUCGAGGGGUAUAGUUCUUCGGAGCUAGAGACCGGCGCACGGGUGCGUAACGCGUAUGCAAUCUACCUUUUACAGAGGGAUAGCCCAGAGAAAUUUGGAUUAAUACCUCAUAGUAUGUGAGAAUCGCAUGGUUUUUCACAUUAAAGUCACAACGGUAAAAGAUGAGCAUGCGUCCCAUUAGCUUGUUGGUGAGGUAAUGGCUCACCAAGGCGACGACGGGUAGCCGGCCUGAGAGGGCGACCGGCCACACUGGGGACUGAGACACGGCCCAGACUCCUACGGGGAGGCAGCAGUGGGGAAUAUUGGGGCAAUGGAGGAAACUCUGACCCCAGCGACGCCGCGUGCGGGAUGAAGG